ACGCACGCUGGCGGCGUGCUUCACCCAUGCAAGUCGAACGGAAAGGCCCUGCUUUUGUGGGGUGCUCGAGUGGCGAACGGGUGAGUAACACGUGAGUAACCUGCCCUUGACUUUGGGAUAACUUCAGGAAACUGGGGCUAAUACCGGAUAGGAGCUCCUGCUGCAUGGUGGGGGUUGGAAAGUUUCGGCGGUUGGGGAUGGACUCGCGGCUUAUCAGCUUGUUGGUGGGGUAGUGGCUUACCAAGGCUUUGACGGGUAGCCGGCCUGAGAGGGUGACCGGCCACAUUGGGACUGAGAUACGGCCCAGACUCCUACGGGAGGCAGCAGUGGGGAAUAUUGCACAAUGGGCGGAAGCCUGAUGCAGCAACGCCGCGUGCGGGAUGACGGCCUUCGGGUUGUAAACCGCUUUCGCCUGUGACGAAGCGUGAGUGACGGUAAUGGGUAAAGAAGCACCGGCUAACUACGUG
RNAcentral lists this ribosomal RNA (467 nucleotides) under uncultured bacterium. Its description in RNAcentral is "partial 16S ribosomal RNA". It matches the Rfam family "Bacterial small subunit ribosomal RNA", at positions 29 to 507 of the family's 1533-position model. The record is from RNAcentral.